UGGCGGACGGGUGAGUAACGCGUGGAAAACCUGCCGUAUACUGGGGGAUAACACUUAGAAAUAGGUGCUAAUACCGCAUAAGCGCACAGCUUCGCACGAAGCGGUGUGAAAAACUCUGGUGGUAUACGAUGGUUCCGCGUCUGAUUAGCUAGUUGGUGGGGUAAUGGCCUACCAAGGCAACGAUCAGUAGCCGGCCUGAGAGGGUGAACGGCCACAUUGGGACUGAGACACGGCCCAAACUCCUACGGGAGGCAGCAG
Molecule: ribosomal RNA, 258 nt
Filed under: uncultured bacterium
Lineage: Bacteria
Description: partial 16S ribosomal RNA
Rfam family: Bacterial small subunit ribosomal RNA
Source: RNAcentral